AUUGAACGCUGGCGGCAGGCCUAACACAUGCAAGUCGAGCGGAUGAAGGGAGCUUGCUCCUGGAUUCAGCGGCGGACGGGUGAGUAAUGCCUAGGAAUCUGCCUGGUAGUGGGGGAUAACGUCCGGAAACGGGCGCUAAUACCGCAUACGUCCUGAGGGAGAAAGUGGGGGAUCUUCGGACCUCACGCUAUCAGAUGAGCCUAGGUCGGAUUAGCUAGUUGGUGGGGUAAAGGCCUACCAAGGCGACGAUCCGUAACUGGUCUGAGAGGAUGAUCAGUCACACUGGAACUGAGACACGGUCCAGACUCCUACGGGAGGCAGCAGUGGGGAAUAUUGGACAAUGGGCGAAAGCCUGAUCCAGCCAUGCCGCGUGUGUGAAGAAGGUCUUCGGAUUGUAAAGCACUUUAAGUCGGGAGGAAGGGUAGUAAGUUAAUACCUUGCUGUUUUGACGUUACCAACAGAAUAAGCACCGGCUAACUUCGUG
This 484-nucleotide ribosomal RNA is filed under the name uncultured bacterium. Its description in RNAcentral is "partial 16S ribosomal RNA". It matches the Rfam family "Bacterial small subunit ribosomal RNA", at positions 30 to 507 of the family's 1533-position model. The record is from RNAcentral.